AUAUAGAUUAAUUUGAAGGGAUUUCAGAGAGGAAGGGAGAGGCAGAGAGAGAUAGAAACAUCAAUGAUGAGAGAAUCAUAGAUCAGCUACUUCCUGCACGUCCCCUACUGGAGAUGGAGCCCACAACCCAGGCAUGUACCCUGAACAGGGAAUUGAACCAUGACUUCCUGGUUCACAGGUCAACGCUCAACCACUGAGCCACACUGGCUUUGCAAUUCUCAGCCUUUUAGUCCAUAAAUAUGGUAUAUCUUUCUAUUUAUUUAGGACUUCUUUUAUGUUCUUUAAUAAUGUUUUAAAAUUAUCUCUACAUAAUUAUCAGGCAUAAAGUUUCUUAGAUUUAUUCCUGGAGAGUUUAUGAUUCUUGUUGUUAUGAUAUUCUUUAGUAUAUUUUCCAAUUGAUUUAUGCUACAUAGGAAUGCUGUUGUUUUUAAUAUGUGUUUAUUGGUUUCAAAGAGGCAGGAAGAGGGAGAGAGAGACAGAAAUAUCAAUGAUGAGAGAGAAUCAUUGAUCAACUGCCUCUUGCACGCCCCCUACUGGGGAUCAAGCCCACAACCCAGGUAUGUGCCCUGACCUCCUGGUUCAUAGGUCAACUAAGCCACACUGGCCAGGCUACUGUUGUUGUUUUUAAUGUUGAUUAUCUUCAGGAACUUUACUGAAUUCUCUCACUAGAUGUCUGGUUUAGAAAUUUUGGGAUUUUCUAUGUAUACAUUUAUAAUUGCCUACCAAGAAGGACUGUUCUCUAUCUUUUACAAUUCUUUAGCCUCUCCUUUCCUUUCCUUAUCUCUUGGUCAGAAGUACUUAAUUUUAAGUCCUAAUUAUCAGUCUUUUUCUUCAUGGUGAUUGCUUUCUGUUCCUGCUUAAGAAAUUGUUACUUAUUUCCCCUAUGUUAACUUCUAAAAGCUUUAUUGUUUUUCCUUUCAUAUGUAGAUCUACAAGUCAUCUAGAUUGAUUAGUGUGUAUAGUGGGAGAUAGGAGUCAGGAUUUUUUUUCAUAAACAUAUCAAAAUUGAUAUGUUUAUAAUAUUGAGCCUAUCAAUCUAUGAAUAUGGUAUAUCCCUCUACUUAUUUAAUUCUUCUUCAAUUCCUCUAAGUAAUGUUUUGUAGUUUUCUGUGAAGAGUCAUCUACAUCUUUUGAUAGUUUUCCUUUUCUAGAUAUUUGAUUUUUUGCUAUUUAAAUACACUAAAGGCCUGAUGCACGAAAUUCGUACAAGGGGCUUGGCCCCCGCUGCCACAGCAGCCGCUUCUGCCUUGGUCCCCGCCGCAGUGGCUUUGUCCAGAAGGUUGUCUGGAAGGACAUCUGAUCUAAUUAGCAUAUUAAGCUUUUAUUAUGAUAGAUAUAUAGUAUAUGUAUGUAUAUACGUAUGUAUUUAUAGGUAUAUAUAAAUAAAUUUAAAAUUUGUGUUGCCUAAUAUUUAUAUUUCUGGUGUAUGGAAAUACAACUGAUAUUUUUGUAUAUCGAUCUGAUAUCUAGCAGUCUUACUAAAUUUUCUUAUUAUUUGUGAUGGUUUGUCUAUAAAUUCUUUUGUAUUCUAUAUAUGCAAUUAUGUCAUCUGUGGAUGAUGAUAGUUUUGUUUCUUUUUUCCCAAACCUAUAUCUUUUUUCUUUCUGGCCUUAUUAUACUGGCUAAAGCUUUGAGUAGAAUGUUGACUGAAGUGGGAAGUGGUGAUAACAGAUAUUCUUGUCUUGUUUCUGAUUUCAGAAUUAAAACUUCAAUAUUUCUCCAUUAAACAUAUUUGCUAUAUCUUU
Molecule: long non-coding RNA, 1745 nt
Organism: Myotis daubentonii (Daubenton's bat)
Lineage: Eukaryota; Metazoa; Chordata; Mammalia; Chiroptera; Vespertilionidae
Source: RefSeq, a predicted model, not a curated record